Molecule: long non-coding RNA, 382 nt
Organism: Periophthalmus magnuspinnatus
Lineage: Eukaryota; Metazoa; Chordata; Actinopteri; Gobiiformes; Gobiidae
Exons: 3
Source: RefSeq, a predicted model, not a curated record
ACUGUUUUGUUCACAUCCACAUCGGUGUUUGUAUAUAUGUGCGUUAGUGACUCGUAACGCUGUAGCUCGUCCACAUGGGGUCAUUGUUCUAUAUUUAUAUGGGUAGGAACCUUACAGAUGAUAUGUUUCCGGGGAAAGGCGCACACGAUUUGUUUGCUAUAGAUAUCAGUUACGUUUUACAGUGUUUUCAUCGAUUUUCCCAGCAGAAAAAAUGUGAAGAUGGAUGAGCUGGCAGAAUAUUUGAGAUCCAGGCAUGUGGAUGAAGAGGCUAUACAACGAAUGGAACAAGACAAGAUUGAUCCCACUGUAAUAAAGCUGAUGAGUGAUGAGGAACUGAAGGACUAUCUACCAUCAUACGGUGAUCGAAUAGCUGUAUUUGGAC